CACGUAGGGCGCGAGCGUUGUCCGGAAUUAUUGGGCGUAAAGAGCUCGUAGGCGGCCUGCUGCGUCCGCUGUGAAAGCCCGGGGCUUAACCCCGGGUCGGCAGUGGAUACGGGCAGGCUAGAGGUAGGUAGGGGAGAAUGGAAUUCCCGGUGUAGCGGUGAAAUGCGCAGAUAUCGGGAGGAACACCGGUGGCGAAGGCGGUUCUCUGGGCCUUACCUGACGCUGAGGCGCGAAAGCUAGGGGAGCAAACAGG
RNAcentral lists this ribosomal RNA (253 nucleotides) under uncultured bacterium. RNAcentral's name for it is "partial 16S ribosomal RNA". It matches the Rfam family "Bacterial small subunit ribosomal RNA", at positions 524 to 776 of the family's 1533-position model. The record is from RNAcentral.